CUCAGCAACAAAACCGAUCUGCUCGCGACACGGACGUUCUUUCUCGUCUUGCAUGACUGGGCUCUUGAGUCCUUCGGCCGUGGCCUCGGUCCGUAUUCUAUCUUCAUUACACGCUUUUAACUUUUGCAGUCUCUUGCAUACUCAUGACCAACCGGAACCAGAGGUGCAACAACUGGUGGCAGCGACGGGAUAUCUGAAGCCGGAAGGGUGCUUCCAGACGCAAACAUCGAGCGCUUACUCGGGUGGAGUCCAUGGUACCAGAAGCCAGCAGGGUGCUUCCAGACGCAAACAUCGAGCGCUUACUCGGGUGGAGUCCAUGGUACCUGAAGCCAGCAGGGUGCUUCCAGACACAAACAUCGAGGCUUACUUGGGUGUAGUCCAUGUUCUUCGGGCAUUAACUGGUGAGCGGUUGGGGUUUCCAUGAGCCACGCCAAGCUCAAAAUUUUCAGUCGUUCGAUUUUGGCACGUGCGCAUUAGGACUAGCAUUUUAGAACAUAGACUUACCGCUGCCAUUAUGGAUCUGAAGUCUCCUGCUACUAUGUAAGGAAUUAGGAAUAAGUGCUGAGAAGUCCAGGCGAAAGCAGGAGCUGGUGGCUGCUAUACAGGCUUCAGGAGUAUAAGCGGACGAGCUUGAGGAAUGCUUUGAAGUUAUCCAGAAGGCUAAGGAAAGGGAAGAGGCUUAACUUCUGGAACGAAGAUUGAGGAUGCUACUAGAAAGCAAAAUAUAGAACGGGAGCUUAACUUAAGCUGGAACUAGAUAUGAGGAGUUUGGACAAUUCAAGUGAAGUUAGUUUUGUGGACAAUGGGAAGUCAAGAUCUCUAAACUUUUGCAGCCUUACAAAGUGGGGUAUGAUAUUGGGUUAUUUCUCAUUAACCUUGAGAGGACGUGCGAGAAAGUCAGUAUACCCCAAAAUUCGUGGAGUUGAGUCGGCGAAUAUUGUCGGUGGUACCUUGUGAAUCAGCUAGUGAUUGCUCGUCUGAGCAAGAAAGACUCAGAGGACACAAAAGUAAAUGAUUCCCUUCUGAGAGAGUAUACUUUGUCAACAGAGGCAGUUAGAAAUUAAAGCUGGAGAAAGUUACUCUGAACAAGUCUAAUGUGAAAGCAACUAUGGUAGAGUGGUUAAAAAGGGCGAAUGGGGGGCUUAUGACCAGAAAGAGAAAGUUCUGAACUGUUUCUGCAUGGAACAAUUCUAUCGAGGAAUACCCAACAGAGUACAAGGCUUUGGGUUCAAGAUAGAACGGACGUUGAAACCGUUGAGAAAGAAGCAGAGCUUGCUCAGGAUUUUGUAAUGCACCGUGAGGACCGUCAACGUAAGACAUUAAGCAGGGAGGAAGAGACAGCUGAAAUCCCUCAGUUAUCGAAGGAAACAGUAGAUCAUGAAGGAACUUCAAAAGAGGAGGAAAGCACACGCAGGGACGUAAAAGUGAAGGCUUAUGAAGCGAGGCGACAAAUUGCAAUAAUAUGGGACAUAUCGCUGCAAAAUGCCCAAAACCUAAAAUGGUAUUUUCGUAUGUUGCUGACGAUGAAAAUAUCGACGCUGUUGGGGCCAUAUAUGCGUGAUUUGGAGGUGAAUGGGAAACCAUGUAGUCUCUGUGAUUCGGCUUCUACCAUGGAUAUAGUGCACGCUUCAUACGUGAAGGGUCAUGAUUUUACGGGGACAGUGUGGGGAUAAAACAAGUAGUAGCGAAGGUUUGCAUCAAAGGCCCGUAUGGCGAGCUGCACACAGAAGGAGCAGUUUCCCAAAACCUGUCUAAAUCGUACCCGUAUGUUUUCUCAAAUCGCUCUGAAGAACUUUUGUAAGAAAAAGGACUCGGCUAUGGAGACGGAGUCGUUCAAAGUUAAAAUUCGACAGUGACAAAACUGCGGCGGAUUCGGGAAACAAAUGCAUCUUAACUAGGACCUGUCCGGCGACAAAAUUCCCUGAAGCAGUUCCGAUGAAGCACGGAACAUCUCCAGGAAUAGUGGAUGCUUUAUGGUCAGUCUUGGCGAGUCAGAUGUCCGGCAGAGGUUCAGUCACUUCAGGGGAGCGAUUUCACGAGCGACUUGACUAGCACGUUCUUUGAGAGAUGUGGUAUCGAGGUGAUCCACAGUUCGGUAAACUUGGAAACCGAUAGACAAGGAAAACUUCAUGGAAAAGCAGAUUGUUUGAGUCCUUACUCCUGCGGUUUAAAAGUUUAGCAGUACGGCUUGCGGAAUCGUGGAUGGUGUUUGCACAGCGUAAACCUAUCUUUUCUUGUUUUGCAAAGAUUGGAUUGUCUUGGUGUGUGUUGGGUGAACCCGCCGUUUCCUGUUGAUGUCUGAGGGACUGGAUUUUCACUUGAGUAAUUGCUUUCGUUCUUGCAAGACAAGACAGACACUGAGCUCUGUGCCGUGCCAGUUGCCCCGAAAGCAUCUACGAAGCCUGCUGCAACUGGCGGCCAAGAUCUUCUAGCGCCGAUCUCCCGGGCGGCGGAGGCGCUGUAACGACCGCCAUACCCAGCGCCAUCGUUACCUCAAGCACUGCCAGCACUACCUAUAUGGUCAUCAUCGAGGCACGAAGGGCUGAGCAAGAAAACCGAUCUGCUCGCGACGCGGACGUUCCUUCUCGUCUUGCAUGACUGGGCUCUUCGGCCGUGGCCUCGGGCCGUAUUCUAUCUUCGUUAAACGCUUUAACUCUUGCAGUCUCUUGCAUGCUAAUGACCAACCGGAAGCCGAGGUGGAACAGACGGAUGCAGACGAAACUUGCGGACGAACUCAUUCUUGCGGGGUGACCAAAGGACACUGCCAAUUUGGAACCCGCCGUGCGGCAGUAUUUCUCGAGACGUUUCAAAUGAAAUCUUUUCGAAUAAUCGCGUGGUAAUUUCCACAUGUUUCCCGCAUGUUGUUCACUGCUGCACGAGUGUCAUCAAGGGAUAUACGCAAUGAAAGCUGUUGCUCGUUCAACGUUCUGGUGGUCCGGACUGGAUAAAAAAUAUCCAGAUCUAUCCAGGAACUGCCAGCGGCGAUGAUGCCCCCAGCGACGGAGCCAGUUCCAUGGCCUACAUCAAAGGAACCCUGGACUCGAGUGCACACAGACCUUGCGGGAACCAUUCAAGGAAGAUGAUUGUGGUGGCAGUGAACUCCACAAGUGGAUGGAGGCACUAGUGAUGACCAUGACUACAUCGAAAGCUACAGUAGAGAAGCCCUCUACAACCAUCGGAAGCACUUUUCGGAUAUCUCAUCCGACCUCUCCUGGCCUUGCUCGCGCCCACACCGCCAGUGACGACCAGCCGAAGCAAGACUGUCCCGUUCGAGCUGGAGACAAGGUCUACGCCCGCAACUACGCCGCUGGACACCAGUGGCUUCCCGGAUACGUCCGCGAAACUUCCUGGUCCCGUACUGUGACAAUCCAGACACCUUCGACCAAAGUUAUACGACGUCACGUCGACCAGGUGCAUGACCGCAUCACCAGAGUCCCCUCCACCUCAAGUGCCGGAAACGGCAGUCUCCGUGGAAACUCCGCAAUUCCUACGACGGUCCACAAUAAUCCGGAAACCAGUAAACAGGUAUUCAUCGAAGGGUGGAAGAAUGAUGUGUAUCUGUCUACGCGCUGCCUAACCAGUCACACGUGUUUGUACUCCGGUUUAGUCUCACUAUUUAAGCCGACACGCAAUAAAUCUUGCGGUUGUUGUUCCGCUUUCUCUACGUAGCA
Molecule: long non-coding RNA, 3671 nt
Organism: Ornithodoros turicata
Lineage: Eukaryota; Metazoa; Arthropoda; Arachnida; Ixodida; Argasidae
Exons: 2
Source: RefSeq, a predicted model, not a curated record